GAGAACUAAACAAGCUAAUGAAAGUAUGAACUAAACAAUAGAGCUUGCAAGGAAUAAAAUGUGAUAUAUUGCUUUAAUAUGCGUCAAUGUGAGAUCAUUACAAAUGGUUAAUACCCUCUUUAUAUAGUAGAGGAAUCCUAUUUACGGUAUAAUUCUAAUUACAGAAAGAAAUCCCAUGAUUAGCUAAAUAACCAUCCUUGAUUUGAUUUGAUCCGAGAUUUAUCCUCGACUCGUCACUGAUAUCUCCCCUUCCUAUUAUUAUGAUGUCUUCGAUUUUGUUUGAUGUCUAUCUCGUUCGAUUUCGAUUAUUACUGGUCUCGAUAUUGUUAGGCGUCUUGAACCUAGAACAAAGUACCUAAUCCUCGUAUCUCGGUCUGUCAAGCCAUGGGACUGAUCCUUGAUCCAUCCUCCUAGUCUUGGUUAAUUGGUAAAAUUGGGUGGGCCGAUUUUAACCGUAUACAAUAAUAUUUGAGUGUUGUUUGAAUCAAUGAUAUGAAAUUAAGAGUUGAGAUAGUUGUAAAGAGAAAUAAUUUUCGUUCACAAGUGAAAUAAUUAUUUUUUGCCGUUACAUUGAUAUGAUCCUUGGAACUAUCAAAUACUCUCAAACACAAUUUUCCUACUUUUAUGUGGCGCCAAACACGCCAGAAUGGGACGGUUCUUUAUGAAAAUAUGCGAAAUAUCAGAAGGUAUUUGCCAAUUCUAUCGUACUAAAAGGAAUAAUCAAAGACAAAAGUUGUCAAAAUCUGCACCAAGCAGUCAAGCACAACGUCGAGUUCCAUGUUGGGUACUAUGAUACAACAACAACUACCCAGUUAUCCCAUCAGGUGGGGUAUGGGGAGGGUAAUAUGUAGACGAGCCUUACCCCUGCCCGUAAGGGCA
Molecule: long non-coding RNA, 879 nt
Filed under: Nicotiana benthamiana
Lineage: Eukaryota; Viridiplantae; Streptophyta; Magnoliopsida; Solanales; Solanaceae
Description: long non-coding RNA (NBEN_LNC021651)
Source: RNAcentral